This is a long non-coding RNA of Rhipicephalus sanguineus (brown dog tick), 573 nucleotides long. RefSeq lists it as uncharacterized. The transcript is spliced from 3 exons. NCBI's taxonomy places the organism in Eukaryota, Metazoa, Arthropoda, Arachnida, Ixodida, Ixodidae. The record is from RefSeq and is a predicted model, not a curated record.
CUGUACCUCACCGCAGUCGCCGGCUUUGAGUUAUGCCUUCUUUGCGUGUGCAGGAGUCGCCUUCACUUGAAAACAUCCGUCGAGACCUGCACAUUUAGUUUUGGUGGUUUUGACGCUGUGCGAAUGGCUGAGGCCGUCUCUGCGAUGCACUCUCAGCGCGUAGACUGUCGUUUUGUACGUUGGUGGUAACGACGUUUGCAGUGCCAACGCGGACCCUCAAGAAUAGGGAAGUUAGUUCUGCAACUGCAGCACGAUGUGGCCCCCGUGGUGUAUACGUCUUCAAAGUGCUGCCACGUUGCUCCAGCUCUGAAGACGCCGAUGCAGAGCGCCAGAUCAAGAAAACGCGCUUGCUGAACCGCAAGCUGACGGCUACGCUGAAACGCCUGCCGUGUGUUCGAAUCUUAAACGCCGAGCAUGUUGGUCUUCAUUCGAGAGCUGUCUCACCUUUGGAUGUUCAGAGGCAUCCACUUCCACCUUGAGCACCGCACCGUGCAGCCAACGCUCUGCGGAGCGUCUCUCGCGGGCGGCUGGGGCACGCAAGCGCAGUGACAACUGUAGGUGGUGCCUUCGCCG